CGGGUAGACCUCCCACCCUUUGUAUACCUUACCUUUUGUUGCUUUGGCGGGCCGCCUAGCUACUGGCUUCGGCUGGUAAGUGCCCGCCAGAGGACCCAAACCCAAACCCAUUUAUAGUGUCGUCUGAGAAAAAAGUUUAAUAUUUAAAACUUUCAACAACGGAUCUCUUGGCUCUGGCAUCGAUGAAGAACGCAGCGAAAUGCGAUAAGUAAUGUGAAUUGCAGAAUUCAGUGAAUCAUCGAAUCUUUGAACGCACAUUGCGCCCCUUGGUAUUCCGAGGGGCAUGCCUAUUCGAGCGUCAUUAUCACCCCUCAAGCUCCGGCUUGGUGUUGAGGCCUGCUGUAAAGGCACCCUCUAAAAUCAGUGGCAGUGCCGUCAGGCUCUAAGCGUAGUAAUUUCAUCGCUAUAGACCCGAGCGGACCCUCGCCAGAAACCCCCCAUUUUUUAAUGAUUGACCUCGGAUUAGGUAGGGAUACCCGCUGAACUUAAGCAUAUCAAUAAGCCGGAGGAA
RNAcentral lists this ribosomal RNA (511 nucleotides) under uncultured Helotiales. Its description in RNAcentral is "eukaryotic LSU rRNA". The stretch from base 148 to 301 matches the Rfam family "5.8S ribosomal RNA". The record is from RNAcentral. Lineage: Eukaryota; Fungi; Ascomycota; Leotiomycetes; Helotiales.